CGUCUAUAUACGUAUAGCAUAUCAAUAAGCGGAGGAAAAGAAACUAACUAGGAUUCCCUCAGUAACGGCGAGUGAAGCGGGAAGAGCUCAAAUUUGAAAUCUUCAAGGUUCUACCUUGACGAAUUGUAGUUUAAAGAAGUGUUUUCUGUUGGAGUUUUGGUAAAAGUUCUUUGGAAUAGGACAUCAUAGAGGGUGAGAAUCCCGUAUUUGACCGUUACUUUCCAGCUGUGUGAUACACUUUCAAAGAGUCGGAUUGUUUGGGAAUGCAGUCCAAGAUGGGUGGUAAAUUUCAUCUAAAGCUAAAUAUUGGCGAGAGACCGAUAGCGAACAAGUACCGUGAGGGAAAGAUGAAAAGAACUUUGAAAAGAGAGUUAAACAGUACGUGAAAUUGUCAAAAGGGAAGCGUUUGACACCAGUGUUGUUUAGUUGAAAAUCAAUUCAAUAGUUUUUGAUUCUAAGUAGUAUUGACUUCAUCAGCUUGCUGCUUUCUUCUCAGAAAUUAUUGAAUGCACUUUUCAGUUAACAAGUCAACAUCAAUUUCUUUUGUUGUAAAAGGGUAAGAGGAAGGUGGCUUGCGCUUCGGCCUCAAGUGUUUAUAGCCUUUUAUCUCUGCAAUCGGAGAGAUUGAGGUCUGCAGCGUAGAUCCUUCGGGGUUAGAUACAUUGGUGCUAAGCUAUAGCCUUGUAUAGACAACUUGUUGACUAUGCUCAGUCAUGUAGCUUACUCGCUGAUGCUAUUUUACCUACGCUUAGGAUGUUGAAGAUAUGCGCGACACG
RNAcentral lists this ribosomal RNA (776 nucleotides) under uncultured Neocallimastigales. RNAcentral describes it as "partial large subunit ribosomal RNA". It matches the Rfam family "Eukaryotic large subunit ribosomal RNA", at positions 26 to 644 of the family's 3401-position model. Lineage: Eukaryota; Fungi; Neocallimastigomycota; Neocallimastigomycetes; Neocallimastigales. The record is from RNAcentral.